This 720-nucleotide ribosomal RNA is filed under the name gamma proteobacterium PM60. RNAcentral describes it as "bacterial SSU rRNA". It matches the Rfam family "Bacterial small subunit ribosomal RNA", at positions 66 to 783 of the family's 1533-position model. The record is from RNAcentral. Lineage: Bacteria; Pseudomonadati; Pseudomonadota; Gammaproteobacteria.
GCGGUAACAGAUCUAGCUUGCUAGAUGCUGACGAGCGGCGGACGGGUGAGUAAUGCAUAGGAAUCUGCCCGAUAGUGGGGGAUAACCUGGGGAAACCCAGGCUAAUACCGCAUACGUCCUACGGGAGAAAGGGGGCUUCGGCUCCCGCUAUUGGAUGAGCCUAUGUCGGAUUAGCUAGUUGGUAAGGUAAUGGCUUACCAAGGCAACGAUCCGUAGCUGGUCUGAGAGGAUGAUCAGCCACAUCGGGACUGAGACACGGCCCGAACUCCUACGGGAGGCAGCAGUGGGGAAUAUUGGACAAUGGGGGCAACCCUGAUCCAGCCAUGCCGCGUGUGUGAAGAAGGCCCUCGGGUUGUAAAGCACUUUCAGCGAGGAAGAACGCCUGUCGGUUAAUACCCGGCAGGAAAGACAUCACUCGCAGAAGAAGCACCGGCUAACUCCGCAGGUGCCACCGCGGUAAUACGGAGGGUGCAAGCGUUAAUCGGAAUUACUGGGCGUAAAGCGCGCGUAGGUGGCUUGAUAAGCCGGUUGUGAAAGCCCCGGGCUCAACCUGGGAACGGCAUCCGGAACUGUCAGGCUAGAGUGCAGGAGAGGAAGGUAGAAUUCCCGGUGUAGCGGUGAAAUGCGUAGAGAUCGGGAGGAAUACCAGUGGCGAAGGCGGCCUUCUGGACUGACACUGACACUGAGGUGCGAAAGCGUGGGUAGCAAACAGGAUUAGAU